Molecule: ribosomal RNA, 410 nt
Filed under: Nannothemis bella
Lineage: Eukaryota; Metazoa; Arthropoda; Insecta; Odonata; Libellulidae
Description: partial 16S ribosomal RNA
Rfam family: Archaeal large subunit ribosomal RNA (bases 1-197)
Source: RNAcentral
CAAAAACAUGUCCUUUUGAAUUUAAUUUAAGGUCUGGCCUGCCCAGUGAAUUAUUUUAACGGCCGCGGUAUAUUGACCGUGCAAAGGUAGCAUAAUCAUUAGUCUUUUAAUAGAGGGCUGGAAUGAAAGGUUUAACGAAGAACUGACUGUCUCAUUUUAUAUGUAUUAAAAUUUAAUUUUUUAGUUAAAAAGCUAAAAUUACAUUGGAAGACGAGAAGACCCUAUAGAUCUUUAUAUACAUUUUUUAAAACUUAUUUUAUAUUAUUAUAUUUUACUAAAUUUAUAUUUGGUUGGGGUGACAAAAAUAACAAUUAACUUUUUUAUUUUUUNAACAUUAAUUUAUGAUUAUUUGAUCCGUUAUUAGUGAUUAAUAGAUUNAGUUNCCUNAGGGNAACACGCGUAAUCUCCCU